UACAGAGGGGGCAAGCGUUGUUCGGAAUCACUGGGCGUAAAGCGCACGUAGGCGGCUUUUUAAGUCAGGGGUGAAAUCCUGGAGCUCAACUCCAGAACUGCCUUUGAUACUGAAGAUCUUGAGUUCGGGAGAGGUGAGUGGAACUGCGAGUGUAGAGGUGAAAUUCGUAGAUAUUCGCAAGAACACCAGUGGCGAAGGCGGCUCACUGGCCCGAUACUGACGCUGAGGCACGAAAGCGUGGGGAGCAAACAGG
RNAcentral lists this ribosomal RNA (253 nucleotides) under uncultured bacterium. Its description in RNAcentral is "partial 16S ribosomal RNA". It matches the Rfam family "Bacterial small subunit ribosomal RNA", at positions 524 to 776 of the family's 1533-position model. The record is from RNAcentral.